AACAACCAUAAAAAAUUUGAGAAAACGAAAUAUAGUCGAUGGUUCGAAAGAAGCACUCACCGAAGGAAGAGCACUCAGUUGAAGAAAAAAAAGAAUAUCAAAGAAAAACUGAGCAAUUGAAAAAGAAAAGAAUAAAACACAGUGAAAAGAAUAUGAACACUGGCUCUGAACCCAAAAUCACUUGUUUUCCUUUUUGUUUGUAUUUACCACACCAUAACCCAAG
RNAcentral lists this long non-coding RNA (223 nucleotides) under Lathyrus oleraceus (garden pea). RNAcentral's name for it is "Pisum sativum (pea) long non-coding RNA (PSAT_LNC009439)". The record is from RNAcentral. Lineage: Eukaryota; Viridiplantae; Streptophyta; Magnoliopsida; Fabales; Fabaceae.